This 1702-nucleotide unclassified non-coding RNA is filed under the name Hevea brasiliensis (rubber tree). Lineage: Eukaryota; Viridiplantae; Streptophyta; Magnoliopsida; Malpighiales; Euphorbiaceae. The record is from RNAcentral.
GCAGAGAAUGGGAGAGAGAUAGAGAGAAAACAAAGUUAAUGAUUUGGUGAUUAAAUUUUUAGUAAUAUAAAGAGCAAAUCAAGUUCCUCACGGCGCCGAAAUUAGCACUAUAUAUAGACGUCUUAACUUUCAUUCAUCAUACCCACAUCUCACAACUUCUCUCUCCCUCUGUGUAUCAAUAACUCCAUAAUUUUCACGUUCUUGAUACCUGUAGCUUUCGCUUUAACCUCCUACCCACCAAUACCGCACAGUUUCUCAUUACUUUUCUCCUAUCAUGGAUUGCUUGCAGAGUUGGCCUGAACCUGUUGUUCGUGUCCAGUCUUUGUCUGAAAGUGGCAUACGCCAAAUCCCACAGCGUUAUGUGAAGCCAGCUUCUCAUAGGCCCUCGCUGAAUAAUAACUAUGUACCUUCUUCUCAAAUGGAGGUUAACAUUCCUGUUAUUGAUUUCCAGAACGUUUUCUCUGACAAUCAAACUCUUCGUUUGGAGACCCUGAAGAGUAUCUCCAUCGCUUGUCGCAAGUGGGGUUUCUUUCAAAUAGUGAACCACGGUGUGAGACCUCAGCUUCUGAAGAGAGUGCGAGAGGUCUGGCGAGAGUUCUUUAACCAGCCGCUGGAAAUAAAGCAGGAGUAUGCAAAUUCUCCAGCUACUUACGAGGGCUACGGUAGUCGGUUGGGUGUGGAGAAAGGGGCCACCCUUGAUUGGAGCGACUAUUUCUUUCUUCACUAUAUGCCAGUUUCGCUGAGAAACCAGAGCAAGUGGCCUGCAGUGCCGGCUUCCUGCAGGGAAUUGAUAGCUGAAUAUGGAAGCGAAGUGGUUAGGCUUGGUGGAAAACUGAUGAGGAUAUUCUCUAAGAACCUUGGCCUUGAAGAGGACCAUCUUAUAAACGCUUUUGGUGGGGAUGAGAACGUUGGUGCGUGCUUGAGGGCAAAUUUCUACCCCAAGUGUCCCCAACCAGACCUUACACUAGGUCUCUCAUCACACUCCGACCCAGGUGGCAUGACCAUUCUUCUGCCUGAUGAAAAUGUCGCCGGACUCCAAGUCCGUCGAGACGACAGUUGGGUUACUGUUAAGCCAGUCCCAAAUGCCUUCAUUAUCAACAUAGGAGAUCAAAUUCAGGUACUGAGCAAUGCCAUAUACAAGAGCAUAGAGCAUCGUGUGAUUGUGAACUCUGAUAAAGAUCGAGUCUCGCUUGCCUUCUUCUACAACCCUAAGAGUGACCUGCUGAUUGAACCUGCCAAGGAGCUGGUGACAGAGGACCAACCACCUCUCUAUCAAGCAAUGACAUAUGAUGAGUAUAGACUUUACAUCAGGACGAAGGGUCCAUGUGGGAAGCAACAAGUGGAAUCUCUAAGGUGCUCUUGAUCAUUGAAUGUGGGAUCGGUAUAAAGACUAAAUUUGUUGGUCCUCCCAGUUGCAUCUAAAUUUAAAAAAAAAAAAAAAAGCCCUUUUAGUUUUUUUCUAUAAGUAUAUAUACUACAGUUCGUGUCAAUGGAUCGAAUAUCAUGGUGAUGAUUUUAUAAUCAAAUUAAAUGCAGAAAAUGAUGAUGAUGAUCAUGCUUUUCAAAGUCAGUAGCAACGAGAUUAAAGCUUUUGUUUUUUUGUUCAAAUUGUUAUGACAAGUUGAUAUGUACCGAUCCCAAUUAUCAGAAAAGAAAAUCCUUUCAAUGAUUUGAGUUUUGCAUCAAAUAUUGGUUAAUUUUU